AUACCGUGGUAUGGACAGCAUCUCAACAAGUCCUUAUACCUCUCCUAAGGGUCGUACAUGCUCUCGUCGUCCAUUUGCACAAAAGAAGAAAUCUCAUUUCUCAAUUC
Molecule: small nucleolar RNA, 107 nt
Filed under: Ricinus communis (castor bean)
Lineage: Eukaryota; Viridiplantae; Streptophyta; Magnoliopsida; Malpighiales; Euphorbiaceae
Description: Plant small nucleolar RNA R71
Rfam family: Plant small nucleolar RNA R71
About the family: R71 is a member of the C/D box family of snoRNAs containing the C (UGAUGA) and D (CUGA) box motifs. Multiple nearly identical copies of this snoRNA have been identified in Arabidopsis, and it is thought to function as a 2'-O-ribose methylation guide for 18S ribosomal RNA.
Source: Rfam by way of RNAcentral